RNAcentral lists this ribosomal RNA (387 nucleotides) under uncultured Actinomycetes bacterium. RNAcentral's name for it is "bacterial SSU rRNA". It matches the Rfam family "Bacterial small subunit ribosomal RNA", at positions 976 to 1362 of the family's 1533-position model. Lineage: Bacteria; Bacillati; Actinomycetota; Actinomycetes. The record is from RNAcentral.
AAGGCUUGACAUGGGCCGGACCGGGCUGGAAACAGUCCUUCCCCUUUGGGGCCGGUUCACAGGUGGUGCAUGGUUGUCGUCAGCUCGUGUCGUGAGAUGUUGGGUUAAGUCCCGCAACGAGCGCAACCCUCGUUCCAUGUUGCCAGCGCGUAAUGGCGGGGACUCAUGGGAGACUGCCGGGGUCAACUCGGAGGAAGGUGGGGACGACGUCAAAUCAUCAUGCCCCUUAUGUCUUGGGCUUCACGCAUGCUACAAUGGCCGGUACAAAGGGUUGCGAUACUGUGAGGUGGAGCUAAUCCCAAAAAGCCGGUCUCAGUUCGGAUUGGGGUCUGCAACUCGACCCCAUGAAGUCGGAGUCGCUAGUAAUCGCAGAUCAGCAACGUGCGG